UACGUAGGGGGCAAGCGUUGUCCGGAAUUAUUGGGCGUAAAGAGCGUGUAGGCGGUAAAUUAAGUUGGAUGUAAAAGGCAUGGGCUCAACCUGUGUAAGCAUCCAAAACUGAUAUACUUGAGUGCAGGAGAGGAAAGUGGAAUUCCCGGUGUAGCGGUGGAAUGCGUAGAGAUCGGGAGGAACACCAGUGGCGAAGGCGACUUUCUGGCCUGUAACUGACGCUGAGACGCGAAAGCGUGGGUAGCAAACA
Molecule: ribosomal RNA, 250 nt
Filed under: uncultured bacterium
Lineage: Bacteria
Description: partial 16S ribosomal RNA
Rfam family: Bacterial small subunit ribosomal RNA
Source: RNAcentral